RNAcentral lists this ribosomal RNA (1383 nucleotides) under Microbacteriaceae bacterium Tibet-IT11. Its description in RNAcentral is "16S ribosomal RNA". It matches the Rfam family "Bacterial small subunit ribosomal RNA". The record is from RNAcentral. Lineage: Bacteria; Bacillati; Actinomycetota; Actinomycetes; Micrococcales; Microbacteriaceae.
CGAACGGUGAUGCAGGUAGCUUGCUUCUGCGGAUCAGUGGCGAACGGGUGAGUAACACGUGAGCAAUCUGCCCUUGACUCUGGGAUAAGCGUUGGAAACGACGUCUAAUACCGGAUACGACCCUCGGAGGCAUCUCCUGGGGGUGGAAAGAAUUUUGGUCAAGGAUGAGCUCGCGGCCUAUCAGCUUGUUGGUGAGGUAAUGGCUCACCAAGGCGACGACGGGUAGCCGGCCUGAGAGGGUGACCGGCCACACUGGGACUGAGACACGGCCCAGACUCCUACGGGAGGCAGCAGUGGGGAAUAUUGCACAAUGGGCGCAAGCCUGAUGCAGCAACGCCGCGUGAGGGACGACGGCCUUCGGGUUGUAAACCUCUUUUAGUAGGGAAGAAGCGAAAGUGACGGUACCUGCAGAAAAAGCACCGGCUAACUACGUGCCAGCAGCCGCGGUAAUACGUAGGGUGCAAGCGUUGUCCGGAAUUAUUGGGCGUAAAGAGCUCGUAGGCGGUUUGUCGCGUCUGCUGUGAARACCCGAGGCUCAACCUCGGGCCUGCAGUGGGUACGGGCAGACUAGAGUGCGGUAGGGGAGAUUGKAAUUCCUGGUGUAGCGGUGGAAUGCGCAGAUAUCAGGAGGAACACCGAUGGCGAAGGCAGAUCUCUGGGCCGUAACUGACGCUGAGGAGCGAAAGCAUGGGGAGCGAACAGGAUUAGAUACCCUGGUAGUCCAUGCCGUAAACGUUGGGAACUAGAUGUGGGGACCAUUCCACGGUCUCCGUGUCGCAGCUAACGCAUUAAGUUCCCCGCCUGGGGAGUACGGCCGCAAGGCUAAAACUCAAAGGAAUUGACGGGGGCCCGCACAAGCGGCGGAGCAUGCGGAUUAAUUCGAUGCAACGCGAAGAACCUUACCAAGGCUUGACAUAUACCGGAAACGUCUGGAAACAGUCGCCCCGCAAGGUCGGUAUACAGGUGGUGCAUGGUUGUCGUCAGCUCGUGUCGUGAGAUGUUGGGUUAAGUCCCGCAACGAGCGCAACCCUCGUCCUAUGUUGCCAGCACGUAAUGGUGGGAACUCAUGGGAUACUGCCGGGGUCAACUCGGAGGAAGGUGGGGAUGACGUCAAAUCAUCAUGCCCCUUAUGUCUUGGGCUUCACGCAUGCUACAAUGGCCGGUACAAAGGGCUGCAAUACCGUAAGGUGGAGCGAAUCCCAAAAAGCCGGUCUCAGUUCGGAUUGAGGUCUGCAACUCGACCUCAUGAAGUCGGAGUCGCUAGUAAUCGCAGAUCAGCAACGCUGCGGUGAAUACGUUCCCGGGCCUUGUACACACCGCCCGUCAAGUCAUGAAAGUCGGUAACACCCGAAGCCAGUGGCCCAACCCGAAAGAGGGAGAUGU